This 676-nucleotide long non-coding RNA is filed under the name Linum usitatissimum (flax). RNAcentral's name for it is "long non-coding RNA (LUSI_LNC005411)". Lineage: Eukaryota; Viridiplantae; Streptophyta; Magnoliopsida; Malpighiales; Linaceae. The record is from RNAcentral.
AGAAUAGAAUAAAUAUAGCUUUAUAUCAUUCAAAUUUUUUCGUUACUACAUCAUUUAAAAGUUAAAUAUUGUUACUACGUCAUUCGGAAAUACAAUACUUAUAACACUAACAUUACUCGUUUUCAUUAUCCUCCUCCUUCUCUUCCUCAUCAGUUGGUGGGCUAUCCUCGGUCGGAUUUUUUCCUUUGGAAGCCCCCAUGAUCCGAAAGCUCCAGAUUAGAUCCUCCUAAUCCAAGAACUCGAUGUGUGCUCGAUUUCUUCGGAAUAACUCCUGCACAAGAUCAAUAACUAUCAAAACCCCAAAACAUUCAAAUCUUGAAGAACCCCAAUUCGAAAAACCCUAAUUUACUUUUAGCUCGAACAUCCUCAAUUCAAAUAACCCUAAUCCGCUCUUAACACUAAACUCUAAACAUUACAAGUUGUUAAACCCAGAACAUUAAUCAAACCCCCCAAUUUAUGACCUAAAUUAAAAAACCUCAAUUCUUUAACAUAUUGACCUAAUUUGAAUCAUACUCACUUGUUUGAGUUGGGAAUCGAUUGAAGGAGAUGAUGGAGAGGACGACAGCGACCGGUGGCGGCCGACGGCACGGUGGAGUCGACUCGGUAGAGCGGCAAUGGAGAAGAAGAGGAGAAGAAAGAAAAUGAAGAAGAAAAGGGUUGUUGAGGCUGAUAAACC